CGAAACCUCCUAGAAGAUAGGUGCUCCCACAAUCUCCAGCUUUGGAGGAGGAAACCGGCCCGGAGGAGGGCAAGUGGCUUUCCGAGGCCUGGAGACAUGGGAAUGAUGGCCAGACCAGCACAUGUUGGGAGUGCGGGGAAUGGGGAUGUCAAAGACCAAAGUCGCCUGAUCACUACCCAAAGGACAACUACCUGAGAGACGCAGGGACUCACAGCCAGGUGACACUCCCAGAGCCCCUCCGUGCGUCCUUUGGUGAGAGGGUGGACCGCGGCUUCUCCCCAAGAGAAACAUCCCCGGGUGGGGCCACGCUGGGCAUCGCUGCUCCCUCGGCUUUCUUGGGACGGGCUAUUUAAUCUCUGCCGCGUGGACUCGGGCACACCGUCUCAAUGAAAUGUACAUCC
Molecule: long non-coding RNA, 401 nt
Organism: Enhydra lutris kenyoni (northern sea otter)
Lineage: Eukaryota; Metazoa; Chordata; Mammalia; Carnivora; Mustelidae
Exons: 4
Source: RefSeq, a predicted model, not a curated record